CCUACGGGUGGCAGCAGUGAGGAAUAUUGGUCAAUGGGCGCGAGCCUGAACCAGCCAAGUAGCGUGAAGGAUGACUGCCCUACGGGUUGUAAACUUCUUUUAUAAAGGAAGAAAGUGAGGCACGUGUGCCUUUUUGUAUGUACUUUAUGAAUAAGGAUCGGCUAAAUCAGUGCCAUCAGCCGCGGUAAUACGGAGGAUUCGAGCGUUAUCCGGAUUUAAUGGGUUUAAAGGGAGCGUAGAUGGGUUGUUAAGUCAGUGGUGAAAGUUUGAGGGUCAACCUUAAAAUUUCAAUUGAUACUGGCAGUCUUGAGUACAGUAGAGGUAGGCGGAAUUCGUGGUGUAGCGGUGAAAUGCUUAGAUAUCACGAAGAACUCCGAUUGCGAAGGCAGCUUACUAAACUGCCACUGACAUUGAUGCUCGAAAGUGUGGGUAUCAAACAGGAUUAGAUACCCCUGUAGUC
RNAcentral lists this ribosomal RNA (460 nucleotides) under uncultured bacterium. Its description in RNAcentral is "partial 16S ribosomal RNA". It matches the Rfam family "Bacterial small subunit ribosomal RNA", at positions 338 to 795 of the family's 1533-position model. The record is from RNAcentral.